Molecule: ribosomal RNA, 865 nt
Filed under: uncultured Bacteroidota bacterium
Lineage: Bacteria; Pseudomonadati; Bacteroidota
Description: bacterial SSU rRNA
Rfam family: Bacterial small subunit ribosomal RNA
Source: RNAcentral
AAGUCGAGGGGAAACGGCAGCUUAGCUUGCUAAGCUGGACGUCGACCGGCGCACGGGUGAGUAACGCGUAUCCAACCUGCCCCACGGUGAGGGAUAACCCGCGGAAACGCGGCCUAAUACCUCAUGGUCUCCGAGUUUGCCAUCAACCUUGGAGUAAAGAUUCAUUGCCGUGGGAUGGGGAUGCGUCUGAUUAGCUUGUUGGCGGGGCAACGGCCCACCAAGGCAACGAUCAGUAGGGGUUCUGAGAGGAAAGCCCCCCACAUUGGAACUGAGACACGGUCCAAACUCCUACGGGAGGCAGCAGUGAGGAAUAUUGGUCAAUGGGCGAGAGCCUGAACCAGCCAAGUAGCGUGCAGGAAGACGGCCCUAUGGGUUGUAAACUGCUUUUAUGCGGGGAUAAAGCGGGCGACGUGUCGCCCUUUGCAGGUACCGCAUGAAUAAGGACCGGCUAAUUCCGUGCCAGCAGCCGCGGUAAUACGGAAGGUCCGGGCGUUAUCCGGAUUUAUUGGGUUUAAAGGGAGCGCAGGCCGGGUAUUAAGCGUGUUGUGAAAUGUAGGCGCCCAACGUCUGCACCGCAGCGCGAACUGGUGCCCUUGAGUACGCACGACGUUGGCGGAAUUCGCCGUGUAGCGGUGAAAUGCUUAGAUAUGGCGAAGAACUCCGAUUGCGAAGGCAGCUGACGGGAGCGCUACUGACGCUCAUGCUCGAAAGCGCGGGUAUCGAACAGGAUUAGAUACCCUGGUAGUCCGCGCGGUAAACGAUGGAUGCCCGCUAUUUGCGCAUUAGCGCAAGUGGCCAAGUGAAAACGUUAAGCAUCCCACCUGGGGAGUACGCCGGCAACGGUGCAACUCAAAUGAAUUGACGG